GCUGGGCAUGGUAGCACGUGCCUGUAAUCCCAGCAGCUCAGGAGGCUGAGGCAGGAGGAUCACUCAAAGCCAGCCUCAG
RNAcentral lists this small RNA (79 nucleotides) under Marmota monax (woodchuck). The record is from RNAcentral. Lineage: Eukaryota; Metazoa; Chordata; Mammalia; Rodentia; Sciuridae.